RNAcentral lists this ribosomal RNA (253 nucleotides) under uncultured bacterium. RNAcentral describes it as "partial 16S ribosomal RNA". It matches the Rfam family "Bacterial small subunit ribosomal RNA", at positions 524 to 776 of the family's 1533-position model. The record is from RNAcentral.
UACGUAGGUGGCAAGCGUUGUCCGGAAUUAUUGGGCGUAAAGCGCGCGCAGGCGGUCCUUUAAGUCUGAUGUGAAAGCCCACGGCUCAACCGUGGAGGGUCAUUGGAAACUGGGGGACUUGAGUGCAGGAGAGAAGAGUGGAAUUCCACGUGUAGCGGUGAAAUGCGUAGAGAUGUGGAGGAACACCAGUGGCGAAGGCGGCACUCUGGGCCGUGACUGACGCUGAGGAGCGAAAGCGUGGGUAGCAAACAGG